GGAUGCGAUCAUAUGGGCACUAGAUCACCGGAUCCCAUCAGAAUUCCGAAGUUAAGUGUGCUUGGGCAAGAGUAGUACUAGGAUGGGUGACCUCCUGGGAAGUCCUCGUGUUGCAUUCC
Molecule: ribosomal RNA, 119 nt
Filed under: Triticum dicoccoides
Lineage: Eukaryota; Viridiplantae; Streptophyta; Magnoliopsida; Poales; Poaceae
Source: RNAcentral